RNAcentral lists this ribosomal RNA (253 nucleotides) under uncultured bacterium. RNAcentral's name for it is "partial 16S ribosomal RNA". It matches the Rfam family "Bacterial small subunit ribosomal RNA", at positions 524 to 776 of the family's 1533-position model. The record is from RNAcentral.
UACGAAGGGGGCUAGCGUUGCUCAGAAUCACUGGGCGUAAAGGGUGCGUAGGCGGGUUUUUAAGUCGGGGGUGAAAUCCUGGAGCUCAACUCCAGAACUGCCUUCGAUACUGGCGAUCUUGAGUCCGGGAGAGGUGAGUGGAACUCCGAGUGUAGAGGUGAAAUUCGUAGAUAUUCGGAAGAACACCAGUGGCGAAGGCGGCUCACUGGCCCGGUACUGACGCUGAGGCGCGAAAGCGUGGGGAGCGAACAGG